This 1440-nucleotide ribosomal RNA is filed under the name uncultured organism. RNAcentral describes it as "16S ribosomal RNA". It matches the Rfam family "Bacterial small subunit ribosomal RNA". The record is from RNAcentral.
CAGGCUUAACACAUGCAAGUCGAGGGGCAGCAUGGUCUUAGCUUGCUAAGGCCGAUGGCGACCGGCGCACGGGUGAGUAACACGUAUCCAACCUGCCGUCUACUCUUGGACAGCCUUCUGAAAGGAAGAUUAAUACAAGAUGGCAUCAUGAGUCCGCAUGUUCACAUGAUUAAAGGUAUUCCGGUAGACGAUGGGGAUGCGUUCCAUUAGAUAGUAGGCGGGGUAACGGCCCACCUAGUCUUCGAUGGAUAGGGGUUCUGAGAGGAAGGUCCCCCACAUUGGAACUGAGACACGGUCCAAACUCCUACGGGAGGCAGCAGUGAGGAAUAUUGGUCAAUGGGCGCAGGCCUGAACCAGCCAAGUAGCGUGAAGGAUGACUGCCCUAUGGGUUGUAAACUUCUUUUAUAAAGGAAUAAAGUCGGGUAUGGAUACCCGUUUGCAUGUACUUUAUGAAUAAGGAUCGGCUAACUCCGUGCCAGCAGCCGCGGUAAUACGGAGGAUCCGAGCGUUAUCCGGAUUUAUUGGGUUUAAAGGGAGCGUAGAUGGAUGUUUAAGUCAGUUGUGAAAGUUUGCGGCUCAACCGUAAAAUUGCAGUUGAUACUGGAUAUCUUGAGUGCAGUUGAGGCAGGCGGAAUUCGUGGUGUAGCGGUGAAAUGCUUAGAUAUCGCGAAGAACUCCGAUUGCGAAGGCAGCCUGCUAAGCUGCAACUGACAUUGAGGCUCGAAAGUGUGGGUAUCAAACAGGAUUAGAUACCCUGGUAGUCCACACGGUAAACGAUGAAUACUCGCUGUUUGCGAUAUACGGCAAGCGGCCAAGCGAAAGCGUUAAGUAUUCCACCUGGGGAGUACGCCGGCAACGGUGAAACUCAAAGGAAUUGACGGGGGCCCGCACAAGCGGAGGAACAUGUGGUUUAAUUCGAUGAUACGCGAGGAACCUUACCCGGGCUUAAAUUGCAGAUGAAUUACGGUGAAAGCCGUAAGCCGCAAGGCAUCUGUGAAGGUGCUGCAUGGUUGUCGUCAGCUCGUGCCGUGAGGUGUCGGCUUAAGUGCCAUAACGAGCGCAACCCUUGUUGUCAGUUACUAACAGGUUCCGCUGAGGACUCUGACAAGACUGCCAUCGUAAGAUGUGAGGAAGGUGGGGAUGACGUCAAAUCAGCACGGCCCUUACGUCCGGGGCUACACACGUGUUACAAUGGGGGGUACAGAGGGCCGCUACCACGCGAGUGGAUGCCAAUCCCAAAAACCUCUCUCAGUUCGGACUGGAGUCUGCAAACCGACUCCACGAAGCUGGAUUCGCUAGUAAUCGCGCAUCAGCCACGGCGCGGUGAAUACGUUCCCGGGCCUUGUACACACCGCCCGUCAAGCCAUGGGAGCCGGGGGUACCUGAAGUGCGUAACCGCGAGGAGCGCCCUAGGGUAAAACUGGUGACUGGGGCUAAGUC